GCGGGCGUGAUGGAAUGGUAGACAUAUCGGACUUAAAAUCCGAAGGGCUUACGCCCGUGUGGGUUCGAGUCCCACCGCCCGCACCA
This 86-nucleotide transfer RNA is filed under the name Roseovarius litorisediminis. RNAcentral describes it as "Pelagicola litorisediminis tRNA-Leu". It matches the Rfam family "tRNA". From Rfam's summary of the family: Transfer RNA (tRNA) molecules are approximately 80 nucleotides in length. The record is from RNAcentral. RNAcentral also lists the same sequence under 2 other names. Lineage: Bacteria; Pseudomonadati; Pseudomonadota; Alphaproteobacteria; Rhodobacterales; Roseobacteraceae.